RNAcentral lists this transfer RNA (70 nucleotides) under Ommatolampis quadrimaculata. RNAcentral's name for it is "tRNA-Ser". It matches the Rfam family "tRNA". From Rfam's summary of the family: Transfer RNA (tRNA) molecules are approximately 80 nucleotides in length. Their secondary structure includes four short double-helical elements and three loops (D, anti-codon, and T loops). Lineage: Eukaryota; Metazoa; Arthropoda; Insecta; Orthoptera; Acrididae. The record is from RNAcentral.
AGUUAAUUAGUUUUAGAUAAACAUAUGUUUUGAAAACAUAAAAAUAGAAGUUUAAUUCUUCUAUUAACUU